CAUGUCUUUUUGAUAAUAAUUUAAAGUCUGACCUGCUCAAUGAAAUUUUAAAUUGCCGCAGUAUUCUAACUGUGCAAAGGUAGCAUAAUAAUUAGUUUUUUUAUUGAAAGCUGGAAUGAAUGGUUUGACAAGGGAGCUACUGUCUCUUUAUAAUUUUUUUUUGAAUUUAAUUUUUAAGUUAAAAAGCUUAAAUUUUUUUAAAAGACGAGAAGACCCUAUAGAGUUUUAUUAAUUUUAAUAUUAUUAUUUUUAGGUAUUUAAUGUUUUAAUUUUAAGAUUAAUUUAGUUGGGGUGACUAGAAGAUUAGAAUAACUCUUUUAAUUAAAAUCAAUGAUUUUUGAAUUUUAAGUCUAUAUUUUUUAAUUUUAAAUUAAAUUACCUUAGGGAUAACAGCGUUAUUUUUUUUUAGAGUUCUUAUUGAAAGAAAAGUUUGCGACCUCGAUGUUGGAUUAAAGUUAAUUUUUGGUGCAGUAGCUGAUAAAUUGAGUCUGUUCGACUCUUAAAACUUUACAUGAUCUGAGU
Molecule: ribosomal RNA, 522 nt
Filed under: Lampyridae sp. UPOL RK0385
Lineage: Eukaryota; Metazoa; Arthropoda; Insecta; Coleoptera; Lampyridae
Description: partial 16S ribosomal RNA
Rfam family: Bacterial large subunit ribosomal RNA (bases 386-522)
Source: RNAcentral